GGAGAGGGUUGCGGCUCAGUGGCACAGCCUCUCCUUGGCAUGCAGAAGGUCUCGGGUUCAAUCCCCGGCAUCUCCA
RNAcentral lists this transfer RNA (76 nucleotides) under Sphaerodactylus townsendi. RNAcentral's name for it is "tRNA-Ala". It matches the Rfam family "tRNA". Rfam says of the family: Transfer RNA (tRNA) molecules are approximately 80 nucleotides in length. Their secondary structure includes four short double-helical elements and three loops (D, anti-codon, and T loops). Further hydrogen bonds mediate the characteristic L-shaped molecular structure. tRNAs have two regions of fundamental functional importance: the anti-codon, which is responsible for specific mRNA codon recognition, and the 3' end, to which the tRNAs corresponding amino acid is attached (by aminoacyl-tRNA synthetases). tRNAs cope with the degeneracy of the genetic code in two manners: having more than one tRNA (with a specific anti-codon) for a particular amino acid; and 'wobble' base-pairing, i.e. permitting non-standard base-pairing at the 3rd anti-codon position. The record is from RNAcentral. Lineage: Eukaryota; Metazoa; Chordata; Lepidosauria; Squamata; Sphaerodactylidae.